UGGGGAAUAUUGGACAAUGGGGGCAACCCUGAUCCAGCAAUGCCGCGUGUGUGAAGAAGGUCUUCGGAUUGUAAAGCACUUUCGACGGGGACGAUGAUGACGGUACCCGUAGAAGAAGCCCCGGCUAACUUCGUGCCAGCAGCCGCGGUAAUACGAAGGGGGCUAGCGUUGCUCGGAAUGACUGGGCGUAAAGGGCGUGUAGGCGGUUUACACAGUCAGAUGUGAAAUCCCCGGGCUUAACCUGGGAGCUGCAUUUGAUACGUGUAGACUAGAGUGUGAGAGAGGGUUUGUGGAAU
This 296-nucleotide ribosomal RNA is filed under the name uncultured bacterium. RNAcentral describes it as "partial 16S ribosomal RNA". It matches the Rfam family "Bacterial small subunit ribosomal RNA", at positions 355 to 667 of the family's 1533-position model. The record is from RNAcentral.